GACGAACGCUGGCGGCGUGCUUAACACAUGCCAGUCGAACGGAAAGGCCUGCUUUCCCUUGUGUGUUGCGGGUACUCGAGUGGCGAACGGGUGAGUAACACGUGAGUGAUCUGCCCCCAACUUGGGUAUAAGCCUGGGAAACUGGGUCUAAUUCCCGAUAGGACUGCAGGGUGGUGCCGGUGGUGGAAAACGAUGUUUUAGCGGUUGGGGAUGAACUCGCGGCCUGUCAGCUUGUUGGUGGGGUAAUGGCCUACCAAGGCGGCGACGGGUAGCGGGCCGGGACAGGGGGACUGCGACACGGGGCAGAAGCCUACGGGAGGCAGCCGUGGGGAAGAAGGCGCGGUGGGCGGAAGCCUGAGGCCGGGACGCCGCGUGGGGGAUGCCGGCUUUCGGGUGGUAAACUCCUGUCGGCCGCGAGGAAGCCACCUGGUUGGAAGGGUGGUGACGGUAGUGGUAGAAGAAGCACCGGCUAACUACGUG
Molecule: ribosomal RNA, 480 nt
Filed under: uncultured bacterium
Lineage: Bacteria
Description: partial 16S ribosomal RNA
Rfam family: Bacterial small subunit ribosomal RNA
Source: RNAcentral